Herpailurus yagouaroundi (jaguarundi) is the source of this 5348-nucleotide long non-coding RNA. RefSeq lists it as uncharacterized. The transcript is spliced from 7 exons. The record is from RefSeq and is a predicted model, not a curated record. NCBI's taxonomy places the organism in Eukaryota, Metazoa, Chordata, Mammalia, Carnivora, Felidae.
GCACUAGGGAGAAAGCUUUGUGAAGUCAACAGAGAGGAAAUUAAAAGGCAGGGCUAAUUAGCACUGGGAAAACAUCAUUAUUAAAAAAAAAAAUUUUUUUUUUUUUGGAGAUAGAUCGAUUACCGCACGAGACCUGGUCAUGUUUGUAUUACCUGUAGAUCUGUUGUCUAUAACACUGUGGGACUUGAGAGCUCAAACAUGGUGAGAAUCAAAACAGGUGCCCCCGCCUGUUCCCAUUAUGCACAUUAGCCCGUGGCCUGUGCACAGCCUGUUAAACAGCUGAAUUUGAAACAAUCAUGGUGCAGGCCAAACAUUAGCCCGAAGGCCUGUCUGUCUAGGGAUUUGGCCAUUUACAUUGACUUUUUUUUUUUUACCCACAUUUUUCAUGAAACACAAAUAUUUGCCAUGGCAACUGGGGUGUCACAUGACAUGCUGGUACAUAAACAGCUUGGAAAUCUCUUAAGGGGGCACAGCCCACCAGUGCUGCAAAUCCAGGGAAAACAUCUUGAGGAAGAUGAAGGUCUGGGAAGAGCAGCAAGAGAGUUCAAGAAGAAGUUGGGGAGUCCAUCCUGCAUUUUCCGAGACAACUCUCUCUUCUGGAUGUUGUUAAUCUUUCACCUCAUGCUGGACAUGUGCGGAUCUGAGGUGAAGCUUAAAUGGCAGAAUAGAACACCCUGAUUUUAGCUGAGCAUAUGGCUAUCCAGUCGCAGACUACAUUUUCCAGUGUGGCUAAGUGUGGACAUGUGACCAAAAUCAGACCAGUAAGACGUAGGCAGCGGUGGUAAGUGUAACCUCUGGGCCAUCUCCUUAGAAUGCCUACCCUGGACUAUCUUUAUCAUUCCUAUGGGCUGAAAGUAUAGAGAGGAGCCAGCUUCAACCACUGGAACGAGAGUGUCUGUAACCACAGGAACGAGAUGAUACAGCCUCCAGAGAGAAGGAAGCAGAGUCAUCCUGUGAGCCUUAGACUUUUCAUGUGUGGACUGUUUUGUGAACAAGAAAUAAAUUGAUCUAUUUAUGGCAUUAUAUUUUCGGAUUUCUUUGUUACAGCAGCUUAGCCUGUAACGAACUACUAUGCGUAUCUAUUAGCUUCUAAUUAAUGUCCUUUGUCUUUUUCCGUUGCGUUUGCUGUGCUUACAGUCUUUUCUCCGCGCCCAUAUUUCAGUAUUCAGCAGUGUGUGUUCUGUUCUUCCUAUUUAUAGUUUAUUUAUUAGUUCCAUAAAGUAUUUUGGUAUUCAAUUUGUUUCCUUAUGUCUGCAACCUCCCUUUUUAUCUCAUUCUGCUAUUUUAUCAUCUCAUGGUUGAGUUCUAGUUUUACUUAAUUUAUGUUCCUAGCAAGCUGUGCUAUCAUAUGGAGAAAUUGUGAGAAAAUUCCUUCUGUUCCUUGAGUUAUAUUUUUUUCCAGGUUAGGCUUUGUCUUUUGCAGCCCAUAGUUCUCCCUCCCCCCUUCCUCUUCCUCUCUUUUUGUUAGCUGUGGGUGAAAUACUGGCAUUUAUGUAAUAAAUCAGCAUAGUGGCUGUAUUGUUUCUUUCCCCCUUGUAUAUUCUUGGGCAGCUCUGCCCAGACAAUCUGCUUGCUCUGAUGUAGCAUCUCGUCCCCCGUAGUCUGCUACCAGUGUGUUUUCCUUCCCAUGUGAGAAGCAGGUACUCUGGGUCUCCUGUACCUUUCUGUUAGCUGAGGGCCUGGGUCAGGGAAGCCUCCAUUUUAGGAUAUAUACAGUCUCUGUUAAAAUAUGUAGGCUCUCUCCCCUCUCCUGAGGUUUUGAUGAACAUCCUAUAUCAGGGUUUGCUCUACUUAGUUGAGGAUGAAUCCCUCCCUCCCUCCCUCUAGCCCCAGGGGUUUUGGAUCAUUUCAGUAGAAGCCUGAAGACUUCACUUCUCUCUGGAAGAAUCAGACAUUGUUUGCUCUCCAAUUUCACCUCUUUCUUCCACGUCCCCUUGUCAAAAGAGAAAAAAAGCAUCAUUUAACAUAGGGACAGUCCGGGCCUCACUUUCUGUCAGAAAAACUCUCCAGCAUUCUUGGAGCUAGAAGAACUCCCUGGAAAGGUAUCUAUAGCAGAAAAGCAAAAACCACGGGCUUGGAGCACUGGAUUUCAGUCCUACCUCUGUCAUUUAAUCAGCAGUGUGCUGGGGUCGUGUUGGUCAGAAAAGGGAAAGGAAGGGAACCAAAGGGAAUCGAUUUUGCUCAGAAUCAGAAUCCUGGGCUGUCGGAACUAGAAGAAAUCUUAGGGAUGGUGUGAUCAACGCCCUAAAUUUACAACUGAACAAACUAAGGCCCAAGGAAUGUAAGUCGUUUGCCCCCAAAUCACAUAGAAGUUAGGGACUGAUUCAGGAUUGGGGUCCAAUAUGAAUGUGGACUUUUCGUAUAAAGGAGAUUGUUAAUAUUAUGUGACGUUAUGGUGUUUUAAAAAAUCUUCCUUUGGCUAACCUGAAAAAUAGUUCUCUUUUCAUAGUUUUCUUAUUUUUUUUUUAAACAUUUUACUUUAACCCAUCAGGAGUUUUCUUUGAUUUAGGAUGUAAAGUUAGGAGUUAACUGAAUGCUCUCUUUCCAACACAUUAAUCCAGUGACUUGGCCCCACACAUCUAACUGUCCCUCCCUUCCCCACCAACUUACACCUUUCCUACAUUCAAACUUAUUUUUUUUACAGUAAGGUCAAUAUCCAUGCUCAUUUUUUUAUUCCAUUGAUCUGUUAAUUUUUCUAUCCAUAGGAUGCUAUUAUAAUUAUGUUAAUGUUAUCAUAUGUUUUAACAAGUUGUAUGAAAAAUUUACCUUCAUUAAUCUUCUUUAGGAGAAAAAAAGUCCUGAAGCUUUUGCCCAUUUAUUUUUCAAGAUGAUGAACACUGACAAGUUGAAAAGAAUUAAUAUUCCACACAAACCAAAUAAAACCCAUAAGUUUUUGGAUUGAAAUUACAUUAGAUAUAAAUAUUAAUUUGGAAACAACUGGAAGUUUUUAUUAUAAUCAUUUUUCCUUUUCAGGAGUAUGAUAUAUUUUUAUGUAUUCAGUUGCUCUUUGAUGUGGCUCAGUAAAUUCGAGACAUAAUGUGUAAAGCUUUAAAAGCACUCUAUGAUGAUCCAGGGAAGGGAAAAUAAAAUUCUACCUGAAGAGAUCUGGGGAGAUAUUUUUAUGGUGGAAAAGAGGAGAGCCUUACAAAUGUAGCCAAAUGAGCUGUAAGUGAAGCAACAGGCCGACCCUGCACUGCCAGAUGGAACGUGUGCAGCACAUUUCCAACCAGGCUGUUUCUGGGAGAUUCCCCAUCUAGCAAGAUUCACACCAGGCAGUCGGACCCAGAAUUGCUAUGCUCAGAGCCAGCAGGUGCUUGGAGUUCAGCAUAGGGUUGGUCUGGAAAUGCAUGCAGGAUCUCAGCACAGAAACUCAGGAAACACGCAAGAAACCCUCAAGAAGUUGGAGAACUCACUACCGCUGGAUUUUUGAUGAAUGAUAUCCGAUGCAAGCAUAGCCUCUGAUGGCUUCUUCCCACCCCAGAGCCGUCGUGGGCUUUUGUGAGAGCCAGAAAGCAGCCGAUGAUAACUCUGUCAUCACUUCCUUCAGCUUUUCCAGUACUCCAAACCCAGGCAGAACUAAAAUUCUAGACGGCAGCCACAUACGAAGGCGAUGCAUGACCCUUCCACCCACCACCGCCACCGCCAUAUUGGUGGGAUAUAUUUUAGGAAAUCAGGAGGAAGGAACAUGAGAAGUCAUUGUUUUCUUGAGAACUCUAAGCAACCUGAUGAGAAAGCGCUCUCUAACGAUAGAGGUGGGGAUGCUGUGCAUGCCAUCACAGUCCUUGGGUAAUGACUGUGUGUCAUAAAUGGGAUAUGGCAUUUCUGAAUGUCUUUAAAGCUAUUUCCUUUUGUUCCACUAAUUUAAUUUACCAAAUGCUCCUGGGAAAAGGGAGGGGGACCAAGAUGCUGACUCCACAUUUCCUGAAAAAUCAACAUUUUCUUUUUAAGCCGCUCUCAAGGAAAUUACGUCUGAUUGUUGUCGGCUGGCUCCCUCAAACUCUACCUCUGUCAGAAUUCUGACCCGGCAGGUGUGAGGAAGAAAUAGAUGCAGAACUUGAGUGAAUACCCACAUCUGUUUUUGGAAAAAAGGAACAGAAGCAGCACAGAAGGAAGUAAAAGAGAUAAUUGCUGGCUUCAACUACAAUACAUUUUACUUGUGGGCAGAGGGCCAGCUUACAGCAGGCUGAAUAUGCAGGCCCAUCUUAUUGGAAUUCAGCGGUGGGCCUCCAUUCUUGUCCGGAGACAGCUGUAAACCAGCAGCCCAUAGCAUCACAAUCAGGCACCGAGUUUUGUCAAGGAAUGCUGAUAUGUACGGAAGCAGCUUUGUCUGCUUCAACUGCACCCCUGCCUAGUGAAAUGACAGUCAAUCUCUGAUUCCAGAUGACAAGAACUGGAUAAAAACUUAAAACAAAUGGCGACCUUUCAAAAGAUUAAUUUGUUUACCAACAAAAUGUCCCCUCUUUGUCAUCUGAGAUGGGGGUGACCUUCACUUUCCCGUAUCUAGGCUGAAAGGAUGCUGACUAUAGUCAUCUGUUAACUCCAUCUCAGCAAUUAUUCCCUUUUUUAUUUUUAGUGACAAGAAGGGUUUAUUAAUUCACUCUGCUUCUUGUUAUGGUUUAUAAAUGCAACAAGCUCAUUCUGAAUUACUGCAGUGUAACAUCAAUUUGUUUAAAUCUAAUUCUGCUACCAUUGCCAAAUUACGUUGUGACUGUAAUUGUGGCCAUAUGCAUGGGCUUAAAACACAAUCAUGUUUUGAAAUCGGCCUUCUUCCCCCCACCUCCCCGAGCACCCCUCCCCCCUACUUCUGGUGCUUCUAAUCAUUUGACAUUAACACAAUUGCCUCGUUUUCCAUUACUUUAUCAUUUCCGAAAUGAAUGUACUUUCACGAGAGAGAUUACUAUGUACACCCCAAGUAAAACAGUAAAGAAUGAAACUAUGAUUUGUGAAGUGUGGUUGCUACCCAACUAAGUUAGUGAACAACACUGCAUAACGGAUGACUCAUAAAAUCGGGAAAUCAUAAUAGUAUUAAAUUCAACCUCAUGAAUAAAUAAAAGAUUCUAAGUUUACAUUGCAUUAUAUAUUUAUUUAUUUGGAAAGUGGGACCAGAACUGGUAUAAUUCUACAGCAACUUAUAUGUUGCCACCAAGAAAAAUGUUUUUAUGCUUCUUUUCUAGGUCAUAACAGUUAUCAUCAGAGUUAUUUGUGCAGCAGUACAAAGCAAUGUUUUGUUUGGCUAUUUUGUUAUGCAUUCAUAAUCGUUCUUUUAAAAUUCAUGCUAACAGAGACAUGUUUCAAGCCUUGUAAGAAACCCCUUUUAUUUAAAACAAAUAAAUCAAAGUCAAAUUUUC